Molecule: ribosomal RNA, 253 nt
Filed under: uncultured bacterium
Lineage: Bacteria
Also listed under: 1 other name
Description: partial 16S ribosomal RNA
Rfam family: Bacterial small subunit ribosomal RNA
Source: RNAcentral
UACGUAGGGGGCGAGCGUUGUCCGGAAUGAUUGGGCGUAAAGGGCGCGUAGGCGGCCAUGCAAGUCUGGAGUGGAAGUCCAUCUUUCAAGGGUGGAAUUGCUUUGGAAACUGUGUGGCUGGAGUGCAGGAGAGGUUAUCGGAAUUCCCGGUGUAGCGGUGAAAUGCGUAGAGAUCGGGAGGAACAUCAGUGGCGAAGGCGGGUAACUGGACUGCAACUGACGCUGAGGCGCGAAAGUGUGGGGAGCAAACAGG